UUGGUAGCGUAGCUAACGCGAGAAGUUGACCGCCUGGGGAGUACGGCCGCAAGGUUAAAACUCAAAGGAAUUGACGGGGACCCGCACAAGCGGUGGAUGAUGUGGAUUAAUUCGAUGCAACGCGAAAAACCUUACCUGGUCUUGACAUGUACAGAACUUUCCAGAGAUGGAUUGGUGCCCGAAAGGGAGCUGUAACACAGGUGCUGCAUGGCUGUCGUCAGCUCGUGUCGUGAGAUGUUGGGUUAAGUCCCGCAACGAGCGCAACCCUUGCCAUUAGUUGCUACCAUUUAGUUGAGCACUCUAAUGGGACUGCCGGUGACAAACCGGAGGAAGGUGGGGAUGACGUCAAGUCCUCAUGGCCCUUAUGACCAGGGCUUCACACGUCAUACAAUGGUCGGUACAGAGGGUCGCGAAGCCGCGAGGUGGAGCCAAUCUCAUAAAACCGAUCGUAGUCCGGAUCGCACUCUGCAACUCGAGUGCGUGAAGUCGGAAUCGCUAGU
RNAcentral lists this ribosomal RNA (500 nucleotides) under Aquitalea sp. Its description in RNAcentral is "bacterial SSU rRNA". It matches the Rfam family "Bacterial small subunit ribosomal RNA", at positions 840 to 1339 of the family's 1533-position model. Lineage: Bacteria; Pseudomonadati; Pseudomonadota; Betaproteobacteria; Neisseriales; Chromobacteriaceae. The record is from RNAcentral.